AUGCCGCGCUGGGUCGACAACUACCUGGACAAGCUCGGAUCAGUGCUCAAGAAAGGUGGCUGGAGGGACAGGGAGGUGGACGAGAUGGUCGAGGUGGCCGCCUCGGGAAUGUUCGACGGCGAGGAGGCUCCGCCAGCCGCAGACGCGGAGGCCGUGCUCGACACACUGCUGCUGAAGACAGACCGGUGCUCAGAGUCCCUCAGGCGAGCCGGGCGCGGCCACGGCCACGGUCACCGGGAGCUGGUGGUGGGCACGAUGGGCAGUGGAAGCUCCGGCGCGCUCAAAGUGUUCAACGACACGAGAUGCCAAACCUGA
RNAcentral lists this ribosomal RNA (315 nucleotides) under Triticum aestivum (bread wheat). RNAcentral's name for it is "partial small subunit ribosomal RNA". Lineage: Eukaryota; Viridiplantae; Streptophyta; Magnoliopsida; Poales; Poaceae. The record is from RNAcentral.